RNAcentral lists this ribosomal RNA (262 nucleotides) under uncultured bacterium. RNAcentral's name for it is "partial 16S ribosomal RNA". It matches the Rfam family "Bacterial small subunit ribosomal RNA", at positions 793 to 1055 of the family's 1533-position model. The record is from RNAcentral.
GUCCACGCCGUAAACGGUGGGCACCAGGUGUGGGGGGUAUCGACCCCUCCCGCGCCGACGCAAACGCAAUGAGUGCCCCGCCUGGGGAGUACGGCCGCAAGGCUAAAACUCAAAGGAAUUGACGGGGGCCCGCACAAGCAGCGGAGCGUGUGGUUCAAUUCGAUGCGACGCGAAGAACCUUACCAGGGCUUGACAUGCAGUGUUCAGCGGGGGAAAUCCCGUGGCCGUAAGGCGAACUGCACAGGUGCUGCAUGGCUGUCGU